This 926-nucleotide ribosomal RNA is filed under the name bacterium NV211. Its description in RNAcentral is "bacterial SSU rRNA". It matches the Rfam family "Bacterial small subunit ribosomal RNA", at positions 76 to 978 of the family's 1533-position model. The record is from RNAcentral.
GAGCUUGCUCCACCGAAAGAAAAAGAGUGGCGAACGGGUGAGUAACACGUGGGUAACCUGCCCAUCAGAAGGGGAUAACACUUGGAAACAGGUGCUAAUACCGUAUAACACUAUUUUCCGCAUGGAAGAAAGUUGAAAGGCGCUUUUGCGUCACUGAUGGAUGGACCCGCGGUGCAUUAGCUAGUUGGUGAGGUAACGGCUCACCAAGGCAACGAUGCAUAGCCGACCUGAGAGGGUGAUCGGCCACACUGGGACUGAGACACGGCCCAGACUCCUACGGGAGGCAGCAGUAGGGAAUCUUCGGCAAUGGACGAAAGUCUGACCGAGCAACGCCGCGUGAGUGAAGAAGGUUUUCGGAUCGUAAAACUCUGUUGUUAGAGAAGAACAAGGAUGAGAGUAAAAUGUUCAUCCCUUGACGGUAUCUAACCAGAAAGCCACGGCUAACUACGUGCCAGCAGCCGCGGUAAUACGUAGGUGGCAAGCGUUGUCCGGAUUUAUUGGGCGUAAAGCGAGCGCAGGCGGUUUCUUAAGUCUGAUGUGAAAGCCCCCGGCUCAACCGGGGAGGGUCAUUGGAAACUGGGAGACUUGAGUGCAGAAGAGGAGAGUGGAAUUCCAUGUGUAGCGGUGAAAUGCGUAGAUAUAUGGAGGAACACCAGUGGCGAAGGCGGCUCUCUGGUCUGUAACUGACGCUGAGGCUCGAAAGCGUGGGGAGCGAACAGGAUUAGAUACCCUGGUAGUCCACGCCGUAAACGAUGAGUGCUAAGUGUUGGGAGGGUUUCCGCCCUUCAGUGCUGCAGCAAACGCAUUAAGCACUCCGCCUGGGGGAGUACGACCGCAAGGUUGAAACUCAAAGGAAUUGACGGGGGCCCGCACAAGCGGUGGAGCAUGGGGGUUUAAUUCGAAGCAACGCGAAGAACCUUACCAGG